Molecule: long non-coding RNA, 565 nt
Organism: Cheilinus undulatus (humphead wrasse)
Lineage: Eukaryota; Metazoa; Chordata; Actinopteri; Labriformes; Labridae
Exons: 3
Source: RefSeq, a predicted model, not a curated record
GUCAAAAUAUCAAAACACAAAGAAGAAAACGAAACACUCGAAACGUGAAAAGUAGGAGUGGAAACGAAAAAGAGGUUUUUAGACUGAAUCUGUGGCAAAGAGCUCAUUAAGAUACAUUGUUGAAGCAUAAUGUUACUCUACCAUCGAUUAUGUCUGUGUCACGUUAUACUCAAGCAGCUGUAACGAUUUUACAACGUCAACUUACAGUCUGUGGACAAAAUACGAGCAACCUACCAGGAGGAGUUGUACCCAGGACACUUCAUGGACAUUAAUAGCCUGGUUCCAGAGGACAGCGACAAGUAGAGGCCGAGGACGAGCAAUUUGGCAGCAACCCACCCAGCAGGAGCAAAAGACGCUCAAUGAUGUUUUGUGCCCUCAACUUUGCCUGGAAGGCAGUGGAUGCCUGGAAGGCACGUCCCGCCCUCCAACCGCCUUCCAAUCAGGUUUGAACAGCAUCUGCAGCUAAAUCUGGAGAGGGAACCUCUGGAGGAUUGCAUGUAGUUAAACUGUCAGGAUAAUGGAGGACUGACACAUUUUGGAGCAACAUCUGAUUAAUUCCCCGAAG